GUGUCCGAUGCGAUUUGAUUGCGGACGGAUUCGGGUUUGAGCCGGGAAUCUGGAAAAAAGCGAGUGAUAAUUGGUGAACGUGAGCGACGGGCGGUGAGUCUGACUCGCCUCGUGGAUUAGUCGAAGAAAAAACAUGCGUUUUAAACGGUGUGAUUGAAUUUUUUUAAUUUCGCUCGUGGGAAUUCCACUUUCAAAUCCUCGAGGAAUAAAAUCUUGAUAUUCAGUGAAAAUUGACUGUUCCCGCGCACCCGACGUAUUUAUCAUCUGAAUGCGUUCGUUUUAUUUUUUAGAAGUGUGAAGUUAAACGUGUGAUAAAUUUUGAAUUCUUCACGUCCGACGCCAGGAUAUCUAAAAAAAAAAAUAAAAUAAAAAAUUUAUUCGCCGAAUUUAAGUAAGAACUUCUGAUUUUUCCCAGUACAUUUCAGUGUUUUUGUCUAGUUAUUGAGACCGAUUAAAAAUUGUAUUCGAUUGAUUUGAAUUUUUCGAGUUUUAUUUUGAUUUGUUUUGAAUGACGGGUUUGCUCCUUGUGUAUUUUAUUCUUACUAAAUUCGUACCGUCUUUGACUUUCGACCAUUGAAAUUGUAAUCCUUUUAACUUAUUCCAACUCGAAAACAUAGUGAAUAGACAGAUUGAGUGUAGGAAUUUAUGGUGCAAAAUGCGAUUGGAUGUAUCUGAAUCGACACAUCGGAAGCGGAAUAGUUGGUGGCCGCACCCAUCUCCGGGCGCGUAAGGAUCGGGGGAAAAUGUAAUCCGUGUCGGUGGUUGCGUCAGUGCGUGUGGAUGAAGGCGUUGGUGGUUGCGUUGUCUCAUUUUUCGGGCGCGAAUAUGUGAGUGAGUGACGUGCCUUGUUCCACGGGUCAACAUGGUUGUCGCUGCAUCCACCGUUUGGUGCCUGAUGUGCGCAACUUUGCUUCAUCUCUCUUCCGUCGCUGCUCGCCGCCACAAGCAGUCCGAACUCGAUAUUCCAAGUACGUAAGCAGCUUUCUCUUUGAAACUAUCAUUUCGUUCUAUUAUAAUCAAAGGAUUGGU
RNAcentral lists this long non-coding RNA (1029 nucleotides) under Bemisia tabaci. RNAcentral's name for it is "lncRNA ENSASIAIIG007961". Lineage: Eukaryota; Metazoa; Arthropoda; Insecta; Hemiptera; Aleyrodidae. The record is from RNAcentral.